GGGCUCGUAGCUCAGUUGGUCAGAGCAGGGGACUCAUAAUCCCUUGGUCGUCGGUUCAAGUCCGACCGAGCCCACCA
RNAcentral lists this transfer RNA (77 nucleotides) under Thiohalorhabdus denitrificans. RNAcentral's name for it is "tRNA-Met". It matches the Rfam family "tRNA". From Rfam's summary of the family: Transfer RNA (tRNA) molecules are approximately 80 nucleotides in length. Their secondary structure includes four short double-helical elements and three loops (D, anti-codon, and T loops). Lineage: Bacteria; Pseudomonadati; Pseudomonadota; Gammaproteobacteria; Thiohalorhabdales; Thiohalorhabdaceae. RNAcentral also lists the same sequence under 1 other name. The record is from RNAcentral.